CAGCAGCCGCGGUAAUACAGAGGGUGCAAGCGUUAAUCGGAAUUACUGGGCGUAAAGCGCACGCAGGCGGUCUGUCAAGUCAGAUGUGAAAUCCCCGGGCUUAACCUGGGAACUGCAUUUGAAACUGGCAGGCUAGAGUCUUGUAGAGGGGGGUAGAAUUCCAGGUGUAGCGGUGAAAUGCGUAGAGAUCUGGAGGAAUACCGGUGGCGAAGGCGGCCCCCUGGACAAAGACUGACGCUUAGGUGCGAAAGCGUGGGGAGCAAACAGGAUUAGAUACCCGAGUAGUCCCUGUCUCUUAUAC
This 301-nucleotide ribosomal RNA is filed under the name uncultured bacterium. Its description in RNAcentral is "partial 16S ribosomal RNA". It matches the Rfam family "Bacterial small subunit ribosomal RNA", at positions 509 to 807 of the family's 1533-position model. The record is from RNAcentral.